GGAACAGCUGAAUGCCUAAUAUCUCUUCUUUGUAAAUUUCUGACCCACUGAAGAUAAGCAGACUUUUAUUCAAGAUCCAAACCCCUGUUUUAAUGAGAUCUUAAAAAUGCUUUCACUUUGGCUUUUUCUCUCACCAGCUUUGUCUGAAUUUCCUGGCAACUUUGCAUAAGAGAGUUCUGGACUUGGAUAAAAUACAUCAGCAUUAUUUGGCAGAAGAUUAGCACCCUACCCAGAACAUGAAGAGUACAUUGUGACCUGGUAUAGAGGACAGACCAAGGCAUAAUUGUAUCUAUUCACUGAGCUUUGGAUUAGAGCCAUGGUGAAGAACUCAUCACAAAAUCACUGUAUACCUGAAUUUUUUUAUUUGUCUUCUUUGGGUACAAGAGCAC
RNAcentral lists this long non-coding RNA (389 nucleotides) under Cyanistes caeruleus (blue tit). RNAcentral describes it as "lncRNA (ENSCCEG00000014122.1)". The record is from RNAcentral. Lineage: Eukaryota; Metazoa; Chordata; Aves; Passeriformes; Paridae.